Xenopus laevis (African clawed frog) is the source of this 115-nucleotide non-coding RNA. The record is from Rfam. Lineage: Eukaryota; Metazoa; Chordata; Amphibia; Anura; Pipidae.
CUGCAGGUAUGGAGAUAUGGUUCCUGACACUAUAGCUGGGAAGAUAUUUGGAUCUAUCUGUUCACUCAGUGGGGUUCUGGUCAUUGCUCUGCCGGUCCCUGUCAUUGUCUCAAAC